RNAcentral lists this long non-coding RNA (464 nucleotides) under Elaeis guineensis (African oil palm). RNAcentral describes it as "long non-coding RNA (EGUI_LNC059333)". Lineage: Eukaryota; Viridiplantae; Streptophyta; Magnoliopsida; Arecales; Arecaceae. The record is from RNAcentral.
UACUGCUGGUAAGUAUGGUAUGAAGCUCUCACUGAUGCUAAACAGCUGCACAAGCAUCCGACCUCUAUGGAUGGUCCACACGAAGCCUCUCGGACCGAUUAGCCCUUCGCGGGAGUGCUAGCUCGCACAGUCGAUUUCUGAUGAUAGAUCUGACUUGAUCUCCUUCUUUGAUCAUCUCAAACCUUUUCAAUAUUGAAGAUGGAUUAGAGAAAGAUACUGGAUGGUGGAGAAAAAUUAUAUGAAGACUCUCUUCUUUUUGAUUUUUCUCUCACCCAAAAACUUAGAACAGUUCUAGGUCUCUCACCCAAGAGGAGAACGGUCUCUCCUUUUGUUCGCACUAAGGAGGAAGGAAACCCACCUAAUCCUCACAUCCCAAAAAGAUAUUUUUGACCUUCUUUCUCUCUGGUAUCUCAUGGUGAAAAGCUCUCCUCUUUUGGUGCACAAAAUUAUGGCCUUUUUAUAGU